GCUUGUCUCAAAGAUUAAGCCAUGCAUGUCUCAGCAUAAGCCUUUUCACGGUGAAACUGCAAAUGGCUCAUUAAAGCAGUUACAAUUUAUUUGAUGGUGACUGUUACAUGGAUAACUGUGGUAAUUCUAAAGCUAAUACAUGCGUCAAGUCCCAACUUGAUGGAAGGGCUGUGCUUAUUAGAUACAAAACCAAUUUAGGCUUGCCUGAUUGAUUGGUGAUUCAUAAUAACUUUCGGAUCGUUUACGAUGCAUCAUUCAAGUUUCUGCCCUAUCAGCUUUGGAUGGUAGGGUAUUGGCCUACCAUGGCUUUAACGGGUAACGGAGAAUUAGGGUUCGAUUCCGGAGAGGGAGCCUGAGAAAUGGCUACCACAUCCAAGGAAGGCAGCAGG
This 389-nucleotide ribosomal RNA is filed under the name uncultured fungus. Its description in RNAcentral is "partial small subunit ribosomal RNA". It matches the Rfam family "Eukaryotic small subunit ribosomal RNA", at positions 30 to 432 of the family's 1831-position model. Lineage: Eukaryota; Fungi. The record is from RNAcentral.